CGAAAGCCUGACGGAGCAAGACCGCGUGGGGGAGGAAGGCUCUAGGGUUGUAAACCCCUUUUCUUUGGGAAGAACAAAAUGACGGUACCAAAGGAAUCAGCAUCGGCUAACUCCGUGCCAGCAGCCGCGGUAAUACGGAGGAUGCAAGCGUUAUCCGGAAUUAUUGGGCGUAAAGCGUCCGCAGGUGGCUUGUCAAGUCUGCUGUCAAAGACUGGGGCUUAACUCCGGGCAGGCAGUGGAAACUGAAUAGCUAGAGUGCGGUAGGGGCAGAGGGAAUUCCCGGUGUAGCGGUGAAAUGCGUAGAGGUCGGGAAGAACACCGGUGGCGAAAGCGCUCUGCUGGGCCGCAACUGACACUGAGGGACGAAAGCUAGGGGAGCG
This 380-nucleotide ribosomal RNA is filed under the name uncultured cyanobacterium. RNAcentral describes it as "bacterial SSU rRNA". It matches the Rfam family "Bacterial small subunit ribosomal RNA", at positions 376 to 770 of the family's 1533-position model. The record is from RNAcentral. Lineage: Bacteria; Bacillati; Cyanobacteriota.